Molecule: ribosomal RNA, 459 nt
Filed under: uncultured bacterium
Lineage: Bacteria
Description: partial 16S ribosomal RNA
Rfam family: Bacterial small subunit ribosomal RNA
Source: RNAcentral
CCUACGGGAGGCUGCAGUGAGGAAUAUUGGUCAAUGGGCGGAAGCCUGAACCAGCCAAGUAGCGUGCGGGAUGAAGGCCCUACGGGUCGUAAACCGCUUUUGCACGGGGAUAACACCCUCCACUUGUGGAGGUCUGCAGGUACCGUGCGAAUAAGGGCCGGCUAAUUCCGUGCCAGCAGCCGCGGUAAUACGGAAGGCCCGAGCGUUAUCCGGAUUCAUUGGGCUUAAAGGGAGCGUAGGCGGGCGUUCAAGUCAGCUGUAAAAGCGCGCGGCGCAACCGCGCCCCGAAGUUGAAACUGGACGCCUUGAGUUCACAACAGGCAGGCGGAAUUCGUGGGGUAGCGGUGAAAUGCAUAGAUAUCACGAGGAACCCCGAUUGCGAAGGCAGCCUGCCGGGGUGCGACUGACGCUGAGGCUCGAAGGUGCGGGUAUCAAACAGGAUUAGAUACCCUAGUAGUC